This 500-nucleotide ribosomal RNA is filed under the name uncultured bacterium. Its description in RNAcentral is "partial 16S ribosomal RNA". It matches the Rfam family "Bacterial small subunit ribosomal RNA", at positions 28 to 507 of the family's 1533-position model. The record is from RNAcentral.
GACGAACGCUGGCGGCGUGCUUAACACAUGCAAGUCGAACGGGUCUGCCCUGUUUUUUGCGGGGUGGGUCAGUGGCGAACGGGUGAGUAACACGUGAGUAACCUGCCCCUCACUUCUGGAUAACCGCUUGAAAGGGUGGCUAAUACGGGGUGUUCUGGCUGUGCCGCAUGGUGUGGCUGGGAAAGAUUCACUUUUGUGGUGUUUUGGUGGGGGAUGGGCUCGCGGCCUAUCAGCUUGUUGGUGGGGUGAUGGCCUGCCAAGGCUUUGACGGGUAGCCGGCCUGAGAGGGUGGGCGGUCACGCUGGGACUGAGAUACGGCCCAGACUCCUGCGGGAGGCAGCAGUGGGGGGUAUUGCACAAUGGGCGGAAGCCUGAUGCAGCGACGUCGCGUGAGGGAUGGAGGCCUUCGGGUUGUGAACCUCUUUCGCCGGUGAAGAAGGUCCUGCUCUUUGUGGUGGGGUUGACGGUAGCCGGGUUAUGAAGCGCCGGCUAACUACGUG